This 301-nucleotide ribosomal RNA is filed under the name uncultured bacterium. RNAcentral describes it as "partial 16S ribosomal RNA". It matches the Rfam family "Bacterial small subunit ribosomal RNA", at positions 509 to 807 of the family's 1533-position model. The record is from RNAcentral.
CAGUCGCCACGGUAAUACGGAGAGCGCGAGCGUUACCCGGAUUUACUGGGCGUAAAGGGCGUGUAGGCGGCCUGGGGCGUCCCAUGUGAAAGGCCACGGCUCAACCGUGGAGGAGCGUGGGAUACGCUCAGGCUAGAGGGUGGGAGAGGGUGGUGGAAUUCCCGGAGUAGCGGUGAAAUGCGCAGAUACCGGGAGGAACGCCGAUGGCGAAGGCAGCCACCUGGUCCACUUCUGACGCUGAGGCGCGAAAGCGUGGGGAGCAAACCGGAUUAGAUACCCCUGUAGUCCCUGUCUCUUAUAC